GCGCAAUGGGCGAAACGUGACGCAGCGACGCCGCGUGAGGGAUGACGGCCUUCGGGUUGUAAACCUCUUUCAGCUCCGACGAAGCGAAAGUGACGGUAGGAGCAGAAGAAGCACCGGCCAACUACGUGCCAGCAGCCGCGGUAAUACGUAGGGUGCGAGCGUUGUCCGGAAUUAUUGGGCGUAAAGAGCUCGUAGGCGGUCUGUCGCGUCGGCUGUGAAAACUCGGGGCUCAACUCCGAGCUUGCAGCCGAUACGGGCAGGCUAGAGUUCGGCAGGGGAGACUGGAAUUCCUGGUGUAGCGGUGAAAUGCGCAGAUAUCAGGAGGAACACCGGUGGCGAAGGCGGGUCUCUGGGCCGAUACUGACGCUGAGGAGCGAAAGCGUGGGGAGCGAACAGGAUUAGAUACCCUGGUAGUCCACGCCGUAAACGUUGGGCGCUAGGUGUGGGAUCCCUUCCACGGGUUCCGUGCCGUAGCUAACGCAUUAAGCGCCCCGCCUGGGGAGUACGGCCGCAAGGUAA
RNAcentral lists this ribosomal RNA (519 nucleotides) under uncultured bacterium. RNAcentral's name for it is "bacterial SSU rRNA". It matches the Rfam family "Bacterial small subunit ribosomal RNA", at positions 366 to 896 of the family's 1533-position model. The record is from RNAcentral.